Molecule: ribosomal RNA, 90 nt
Filed under: Sediminitomix flava
Lineage: Bacteria; Pseudomonadati; Bacteroidota; Cytophagia; Cytophagales; Flammeovirgaceae
Source: RNAcentral
UUCACCUCUUCCCAUUCCGCACAGAGCAGUUAAGCCCUACCGCGCCGAUGGUACUGCCGUAACAGGUGGGAGAGUAGGUCAUUGCCAACC